UACGGAGGGUGCAAGCGUUAAUCGGAAUUACUGGGCGUAAAGCGCACGCAGGUGGCUGAGUCAGUCGAUUGUGAAAGCCCUGGGCUUAACCUGGGAAUUGCAGUCGAUACUACUCAGCUAGAGUAUGGGAGAGGGUAGUGGAAUUCCCGGUGUAGCGGUGAAAUGCGUAGAUAUCGGGAGGAACAUCAGUGGCGAAGGCGGCUGCCUGGCCCAAUAUUGACGCUGAGACGCGAAAGCGUGGGGAGCAAACAGG
Molecule: ribosomal RNA, 253 nt
Filed under: uncultured bacterium
Lineage: Bacteria
Description: partial 16S ribosomal RNA
Rfam family: Bacterial small subunit ribosomal RNA
Source: RNAcentral